UGUUGCUGUGCGUUUUCUUGGUGCGCAGAAUUUUCGUUAUAAAAAGUGAAACGAAAUUGAAUUCGAAAACAUUAUCGCCUUAGCCGUGGUUGUGUGUUAAGUCUCCCUUGAUCAAGUUUUAAAGAUUUGAAUUUUCACUACGAAAAUGUUCGUUGUACUCUGUGCAAUAUUCGCUUUGGCGCUGACUGGUACCGAAGCCCAAGACUAUGCAGGCAGCGGCAAAUUUCAUCUUUUGCAACCGCCGAAGAACAACAUGUACCAAAACUGGUCCCGAAUGUGCAGCCGAUUGCUCAACAUUAAUGAUCUGUAUGGCCGUGAUCCUACACCAUUAGACACAGUCCUUUGCUCUUCUCCAAAUCAGUAUUGCGUGAACGGUGCCUGUACAACGAAACCAACCAGCCAAUG
Bradysia coprophila is the source of this 405-nucleotide long non-coding RNA. NCBI's taxonomy places the organism in Eukaryota, Metazoa, Arthropoda, Insecta, Diptera, Sciaridae. The record is from RefSeq and is a predicted model, not a curated record.